Molecule: ribosomal RNA, 493 nt
Filed under: uncultured bacterium
Lineage: Bacteria
Description: partial 16S ribosomal RNA
Rfam family: Bacterial small subunit ribosomal RNA
Source: RNAcentral
AUUGAACGCUGGCGGUAUGCUUUACACAUGCAAGUCGAACGGUAACAGGUUAAGCUGACGAGUGGCGAACGGGUGAGUAAUGCAUCGGAACGUGCCCGGUCGUGGGGGAUAACGCAGCGAAAGCUGCGCUAAUACCGCAUGCGAUCUGAGGAUGAAAGCGGGGGACCGUAAGGCCUCGCGCGAUCGGAGCGGCCGAUGUCAGAUUAGGUAGUUGGUGGGGUAAAGGCUCACCAAGCCAACGAUCUGUAGCUGGUCUGAGAGGACGACCAGCCCUACUGGGACGGAGACACGGCCCAGACUCCUACGGGAGGCAGCAGUGGGGAAUUUUGGACAAUGGGCGAAAGCCUGAUCCAGCAAUGCCGCGUGCAGGAAGAAGGCCUUCGGGUUGUAAACUGCUUUUGUACGGAGCGAAAAGGUCUCCUCUAAUACAGGGGGCUCAUGACGGUACCGUAAGAAUAAGCACCGGCUAACUACGUGCCAGCCGCCGCAGUAA